GUCGUGAAGAACAGCACAUUAAUGCUCUGUCUCUUCAUGAUGUGUUGUUCGACUGCAGCAUCGGCUCGUCUAGCCCAAUCAAGUUCGUGAUUGAUUCAGGAGCAG
This is a long non-coding RNA of Aedes aegypti (yellow fever mosquito), 105 nucleotides long. RefSeq lists it as uncharacterized. The transcript is spliced from 3 exons. The record is from RefSeq and is a predicted model, not a curated record. Lineage: Eukaryota; Metazoa; Arthropoda; Insecta; Diptera; Culicidae.